This is a long non-coding RNA of Ictalurus punctatus (channel catfish), 302 nucleotides long. NCBI's taxonomy places the organism in Eukaryota, Metazoa, Chordata, Actinopteri, Siluriformes, Ictaluridae. The record is from Ensembl.
CAGAUACAGAUACACAAACAAAAAUUUUUAAAAAUAUUAUUUUAAAAGUACAUUUUUGGAGGUUGGGGUGGAUGUAAUGUUGGGGUGGAUGUAAUGUCAGGGGGUGGAUGUAAUGUCAGGGGGUGGAUGUAAUGUUGGGGUGGAUGUGAUGUCAGGGGGUGGAUGUAAUGUCAGGGGGUGGAUGUAAUGUUAGGGGUGGAUGUAAUGUUGGGGUGGAUGUAAUGUUGGGGUGGAUGUAAUGUCAGGGGGUGGAUGUAAUGUUGGGGUGGAUGUAAUGUCAGGGGGUGGAUGUGAUGUCAGGG